CCACUCCCUGCCCUGCCGGGUGGGGGCUUGGCAGCUCAGCCUCCAUGCACAUCCUUGUGCCCGGCAGCCUCAGGGAGAGAGGGAGAGAAGUGCGCGCCACAGGGGUCAGACCCAGGACAGACAAGUCCAUCUCAAUGUUCCUCCUUGCAUCCUGAGCACCCCACAGCCCGCACUACUUAGUGGGCAGUCCUGUGUGCUCUCAAGUGCAGAGCGCAGGACCUGACCCCUGACCCUGGGACAAAUGCCAGUGCAGGCCAGGAGAAGACCCCACCCCACGCUCACCCCCUGUGCUUCCUGGUGCUGACCCCACUGGAUCACAAGGUGUGGGUCUAUGGUGAUGAGGAUGGGAGGGGGUCAUGCAGGGAGGAGGGGUGCGAGCAGUUUCAGCCUCAGGGGUAAUUUACACACAGGUGCCAUUAGCAAGCUAAGGCUCCAAAAGCCACGGGAUGUCUCCAGGAUGUGACAGAAACUUGAUGGCUCAACAGCCAAACUGAUUUGGAGGAAAUGCAAAAGAGUGGAAGACCCUAAACCUCCCCCUCCUCACCAGACCAGAGCCGGCCACGCCUUCCCCAGAGCUGCAACAGACCUGUCGGGUCAGGAACGCUUUAGACUUGGGCAGUUUUAUUAGAAUAUGAUGGCAAUGCUUACCUAUCACACCCCACCAUGACCCUACCCAGGGGCGUGCACAUGUGACAUACAUGAUUCGGUUUCUGUUUUGGGGAGUAACCCAGGAUUUGGAACUGUGAAAUCCUAAUGACUGGCAUUGACUGUGGAAAGAAGAACAGAGCCUCCCCUCUGCUGCCCACUGCACCCCCAGGAGUGGAGACAGUCUUGCUGGCCACAGGAAGCCCAGCAGCAGGAGGUGUGGGUAUGUUGAGCCGGUUAAAUCUCUUGAAGACCCGUCUCUCGGAGGCCACUGGAACACCACGCUGCUCCUUCUGAGGUCUCCUGCGGGCGUCAUUAGCUCGGUCAGCACUCCUGAGAGUCCUUCUCCCUGCACAUCACCCUGGAAGCCCUGACCUGACCACCACGGAGAGGAGGAGGCCCGGCAGCUUCCCCGGAUGCCAUGUCACGCCGCUGCCUCCCAGAGGACCACGGAGCAGCGGAGGUCAGCAAGACAUCCUCAGCCCCUGCCCACCUGGCUCCAUCUGUUUUAGUUAGUUUGGGCCUCACUGUGACCAAAACGCUUGAAAGGAACAACUUAGAGGAGGGGCAGCUUCUCUGGGGCUCACGGUUUCAGGGGCCUCUGUCCAUAGAUGACGGACUCCACUGCUCAGGGC
RNAcentral lists this long non-coding RNA (1280 nucleotides) under Marmota monax (woodchuck). Lineage: Eukaryota; Metazoa; Chordata; Mammalia; Rodentia; Sciuridae. The record is from RNAcentral.